Molecule: long non-coding RNA, 727 nt
Filed under: Schizosaccharomyces pombe (fission yeast)
Lineage: Eukaryota; Fungi; Ascomycota; Schizosaccharomycetes; Schizosaccharomycetales; Schizosaccharomycetaceae
Description: centromeric lncRNA
Source: RNAcentral
UUCAUCCCCAGCGUAGUUAUAAAAACAAAGUAAAAAGUCCGAAGAAUGCAAUUAAAAUGAUGGUACCGUAAUCGUAAAAACGUUAUCUAAGCUGAUAAUAUUUUUAAUAAAGAAAAAAUUAUGGAAGUCAGCAAUUUCUUUUCGUUACUAACCUAGCUUGGCUUCAGGAGUCACCAAUAAUUUAACUUCAAACAGUCCAAACACAGCACCAUUUUUUAUAUUUUAAUUUUCUGACUGUAUUAAUGUUAAACUACAAUUCGCAUAUGUCCACUCAACAUGCUAUCAUGAUUAUUCAUUUUCCACUUUGAUUUCUUUCGAUAAAAGAAUUGGCAAAAUAAUUGACGUUACAACAAUCGUAAUGAGAUAGCUCGUUAUACCGAAUUUUUAAGCAUUGCUAACUCCUCGCUUCAUACGAUACGUAUGCUGCUCCGUAUCAUCAGUAAGAAUUCACUAUGCUAGACAUUACUGUUUCAAAUAUACUCCAACCUAAUUAAAUUGCUUUUCUGAUGGUUUGCAUGCUGCUUAAUACACUUUAUCUGAAAAUAUAAUUUACAACGAAUAACGUUGCAUCUCAAAACCCUCGUGCACUUACUUUAUGACUAGUCAAUAACAAAUCAUAAAUCAGUGGAAGAAUAUAAUCUUAGUUAUAAUGGUAAUAAUAAACUUGAUCAGUUUAUGACUAAUUUUUUGCUACUCUAUUUCUCUGUCUACGUACGCCAGUUGCUCA